RNAcentral lists this unclassified non-coding RNA (404 nucleotides) under soil metagenome. RNAcentral describes it as "partial contains 5.8S ribosomal RNA, internal transcribed spacer 2, and large subunit ribosomal RNA". The stretch from base 1 to 121 matches the Rfam family "5.8S ribosomal RNA", at positions 35 to 154 of the family's 154-position model. The record is from RNAcentral.
GAUGAAGAACGCAGUGAAAUGCGAUAAGUAAUGUGAAUUGCAGAAUUCAGUGAAUCAUCGAAUCUUUGAACGCACCUUGCGCCCUUUGGCCAUUCCGAAGGGCAUGCCUGUUUGAGUAUCAUGAACACCUCAACUCUUUAUGGUUUUCCAUGAUGAGCUUGGACUUUGGGGGUUUUGCUGGCCUAUGGUCGGCUCCUCUAAAAUAAAUCAGCUUACCGGUGUUUGGUGGGUAUCAUGGGUGUGAUAACUAUCUACGCUUGUGGUUUUUCCACCAGGUAACCUUCGACAGCGGAGGUUCACUGGAGCUCAUAGAUGUCUCUCCUCAGCGAGGACAGCCCUUUGAAUGUUUGAUCUCAAAUCAGGUAGGACUACCCGCUGAACUUAAGCAUAUCAAAAGCGGAGGA